This 132-nucleotide small RNA is filed under the name Escherichia coli. RNAcentral's name for it is "RtT sRNA". It matches the Rfam family "RtT RNA". From Rfam's summary of the family: This family represents a bacterial cis-regulatory element known as RtT RNA. The record is from RNAcentral. Lineage: Bacteria; Pseudomonadati; Pseudomonadota; Gammaproteobacteria; Enterobacterales; Enterobacteriaceae.
GUUUGCACUCAUCGGGGAAGGGUGAGAACCUUCGACUAAGGUUCGAUUAGAGCGAAAGCGAGAGAACGUUGCCACAGGCAACGGCCCGAAGGGUGAGGAGCGAAGCGACGAAUAAUCCUUCCCCCACCACCA